GGAUUGUGGCUUAGCAGUAGAGCGCUCGCCUAGUAUGUGUGAGGCCCUGGGUUCAAUCCUUAGCACCA
Molecule: transfer RNA, 68 nt
Filed under: Marmota monax (woodchuck)
Lineage: Eukaryota; Metazoa; Chordata; Mammalia; Rodentia; Sciuridae
Description: tRNA.Thr
Source: RNAcentral